RNAcentral lists this non-coding RNA (388 nucleotides) under uncultured phage cr82_1. The record is from RNAcentral. Lineage: Duplodnaviria; Heunggongvirae; Uroviricota; Caudoviricetes; Crassvirales; Suoliviridae.
CUAUGUAGGUUUGGUCGCCUACAUAGUCACAAUUGACUGUUAGGUCUAUGGAUCAGUUGUAAGACGAGGGUUCGACUCCCUCAUACUCCACGCUCACCUAGAGCUUCAAAGCAAUAUACUAAGGAAAAGAACUAGGGUUUUUGAUCGUGUUCUACCGUGCGCCAAGUUCUUAAAUCUUAGAACGGUAGAUUUGGGGUAUUGUGGUUUUGAUUGCAACAAUGUGAAGUAGAAUAGGUCAAUAAGCAGAUAACUGGCAAUACAAGUUAUGUAAUGGAUUAUACACGCUUGGCAGCGUGAGAUAAACCGAACGGCUAAGCUAAUGUCGUAGAAAGCUGGAAAUAAGUAGCUUUAUAUGGAAUAGAAGCGCUAACACUGAUAAGGUUAGAGG